GAGAGUGGGUAGUCCGCACGAGCGCACCCUAUUUUUAGUUGCUACCAUUUAGUUGGGCACUCUAAAAAAACUGCCGGUGAUAAGCUGGAGGAAGGCGGGGAUGACGUCAAGUCCUCAUGGCCCUUACGUGUUGGGCUACACACGUGCUACAAUGGCAUUUACAGUGAGAAGCAAAGAUGCGAGUCUAAGCCAAUCCCUAAAAAAUGCCUCAGUUCGGAUUGUACUCUGCAACUCGAGUACAUGAAGCUGGAAUUACUAGUAAUCGCGGAUCAGCGCGCCGCGGUGAAUACGUUCCCGGGUCUUGUACACACCGCCCGUCACACCAUGGAAGUUGGUUACACCUUAAGGCAAAGCUUAAAACCUUUGACUACGGUACGAUCAGCGACUGGGGUGAAGUCGUAACAAGGUAGCCGUAGGGGAACCUGCGGCUGGAUCACCUCCUUUCU
Molecule: ribosomal RNA, 446 nt
Filed under: uncultured Pelagibacterales bacterium
Lineage: Bacteria; Pseudomonadati; Pseudomonadota; Alphaproteobacteria; Candidatus Pelagibacterales
Description: bacterial SSU rRNA
Rfam family: Bacterial small subunit ribosomal RNA
Source: RNAcentral